RNAcentral lists this ribosomal RNA (425 nucleotides) under uncultured bacterium. Its description in RNAcentral is "bacterial SSU rRNA". It matches the Rfam family "Bacterial small subunit ribosomal RNA", at positions 354 to 796 of the family's 1533-position model. The record is from RNAcentral.
GUGGGGAAUAUUGGACAAUGGGCGCAAGCCUGAUCCAGCCAUGCCGCGUGAGUGAUGAAGGCCUUAGGGUUGUAAAGCUCUUUUGUCCGGGAAGAUAAUGACUGUACCGGAAGAAUAAGCCCCGGCUAACUCCGUGCCAGCAGCCGCGGUAAUACGGAGGGGGCUAGCGUUGUUCGGAAUUACUGGGCGUAAAGCGCACGUAGGCGGACUGGAAAGUCAGGGGUGAAAUCCCGGGGCUCAACCCCGGAACUGCCUUUGAAACUCCCAGUCUUGAGGUCGAGAGAGGUGAGUGGAAUUCCGAGUGUAGAGGUGAAAUUCGUAGAUAUUCGGAGGAACACCAGUGGCGAAGGCGGCUCACUGGCUCGAUACUGACGCUGAGGUGCGAAAGCGUGGGGAGCAAACAGGAUUAGAAACCCUGGUAAUCC